This 138-nucleotide ribosomal RNA is filed under the name uncultured bacterium. RNAcentral describes it as "partial 16S ribosomal RNA". It matches the Rfam family "Bacterial small subunit ribosomal RNA", at positions 399 to 524 of the family's 1533-position model. The record is from RNAcentral.
GCGUGAGCUGAUGAUAGGUUUUCAGGAUCUGUAAAAGCUCUGUUGUCAGGGAAGAACAAGUACCGGAGUAACUGCCGGUACCUUGACGGUACCUGGCCAGAAAGCCACGGCUAACUACGUGCCAGCAGCCGCGGUAAU